AACGAACGCUGGCGGCAUGCCUAACACAUGCAAGCCGAACGAGAUCUUCGGGUCUAGUGGCGCACGGGUGCGUAACGCGUGGGAAUCUGCCCUUUGGUUCGGAAUAACAGUUGGAAACGACUGCUAAUACCGGAUGAUGACGAAAGUCCAAAGAUUUAUCGCCAGGGGAUGAGCCCGCGUAGGAUUAGCUAGUUGGUGUGGUAAAGGCGCACCAAGGCGACGAUCCUUAGCUGGUCUGAGAGGAUGAUCAGCCACACUGGGACUGAGACACGGCCCAGACUACUACGGGAGGCAGCAGUGGGGAAUAUUGGAAAAUGGGCGAAAGCCUGAUCCAGCAAUGCCGCGUGAGUGAUGAAGGCCUUAGGGUUGUAAAGCUCUUUUACCCGGGAUGAUAAUGACAGUACCGGGAGAAUAAGCUCCGGCUAACUCCGUGCCAGCCGCCGCAGUAA
RNAcentral lists this ribosomal RNA (449 nucleotides) under uncultured bacterium. RNAcentral describes it as "partial 16S ribosomal RNA". It matches the Rfam family "Bacterial small subunit ribosomal RNA", at positions 29 to 523 of the family's 1533-position model. The record is from RNAcentral.